UGUUUCAGAUGGUAAAGAAUCUGCCUCCAAAGCAGGAGACCCAGGUUCUAAUCCUGG
This is a transfer RNA of Ovis aries (sheep), 57 nucleotides long. It matches the Rfam family "tRNA", at positions 8 to 63 of the family's 71-position model. From Rfam's summary of the family: Transfer RNA (tRNA) molecules are approximately 80 nucleotides in length. The record is from Rfam. NCBI's taxonomy places the organism in Eukaryota, Metazoa, Chordata, Mammalia, Artiodactyla, Bovidae.